RNAcentral lists this long non-coding RNA (1947 nucleotides) under Sus scrofa (pig). RNAcentral describes it as "lncRNA (ENSSSCG00000041085.2)". Lineage: Eukaryota; Metazoa; Chordata; Mammalia; Artiodactyla; Suidae. The record is from RNAcentral.
GAUCCAGCGUGGCUGUGGCAUAGGCCAGUGGUUGAAUCUCCAAUUUAACCCCUAGCCUGGGAACUUCCAUAUGCCCCAUGUGUGACCCUAAAAAGACAGAAAGAAAGAGAGAGAGGAAGAAAGAGGGAGAGAGAGAAAGUGGAAAUUGCUGGGCUAUAUUUUUAGUUAUUUGCGGUCAAAUAUAUUCCUAAUAGAUGCAAGGAUGCUCCAACCCUGAGGAGCAGAGAAAUCCUAGGAAACUUCUCGGCUGCAAAUAUAUCCUGCCCUCCCACAGUCUAUACAAUUACUUCCAACUUCCCAAAAUAUCAUAACAUCCUCCCCUAAAAAAAGUGGGUCCAGGGAAAUCACCUCGCUUUGCCCUGUUAGAGCUCAACUGGUAAGUGCGGAGGGUAGGGCCAGGUUAACAUCCAAAACAAUAAAACAAAAGUUCUGCUUCCGGAGUAAUCGGUGAUGACGGAAUGGUUAUGGAGGAGGGUGAGGUGAGAAGUUGAACUGUAACCAAUAACAUCUUGAAAAAUCCAAAUGCUUAUGUUCCUACUAAGAAAUCCCACUGUUACCAAAUUCUCCAUUAUUCUUUUGCUCUCAGGUCACCCCUUACUCCAGACCACGCCUGGGGAGUUCCCGUCGUGGUGCAGUGGAAAUGAAUCCGACUAGGAACCAUGAGGUUGUGGGUUCGGUCCCUGGCCUUGCUCAGUGGGUUAAGGAUCUGGCGUUGCCAUGAGCUGUGGUGUAGGUUGCAGACGCAACUCAGCUCUGGCGUAGGCUGGUGGCUAUAGCUCCGAUUAGACCCCUAGCCUGGGAACCUCCAUAUGCCAAGGGAGUAGCUCUAGAAAAGGGACAAAAAAAAGAGAGAGAAAGAGAGAGAAGGGACAGAAUCUUAUUUAUCUCUGUAGCCCCAGUGCCUCAUAUAGGACUGGCACGUUUGGGAGGCACAGAUUGAGUGGUACAAGGGACAGAAAGAGAGAUUAGGACAGCAUAUUUUAAAACCAGGAUCUUCAAGCUCUCCGGAAUACUGAAGAUGUAGAAGAAAGUCAUGUGACUAAGCAAUUGUGGGAAUUGAGAGAACUCAGUUCAAACACUGUCUCUUUCCUGCUAUACUUUAGCUGUGUGGCCUGGCUAAAUCACUCAUCUCUAUGCCUCAGUUUCCUCUUCUUUAUGACCCCCUCACAGGAUUGGCUGCCAUCAUCUAGCAAGUGAGCCAUCAGAGGAAGCAUUCCAGAAGUGAAAAGCAUUGUUGUUAAUAUUAUUAUUACUUUUGUGCCUAGAGAGCAUCAGCAUCACUUGGAGGGCUUGUUAAACACAGAUAUCACUGGGCCCCAGCCCAGAAUUUCUGACUCAGUAGGUUUGGGUUACUAGGGUCCAAGAAUUUGCAUCUCGAACAAGAUCCAAGUGAUGCUGAUGCAGCAAGAACCCCCAGCCUAACUUACUGCUUAGGAGGCCACAGGGCAGGCUGUGCUUAGCAGAAGGCAGUGAAGAGGAGCAAUGAAGUAAAGGAAGAAAGACAACAAAAGCUUGAAAAUUCUAGCUCAGAGCUUCCUCGCCUGUAUGUCAUGGCUGGAGAUGUGGGUGCCCAGAAAUUGAUCCCUCAUGCCUUAGCAGGAUCCUGAAGACAGCUGCCCAGGUUGUGCACACAGAAUAAGGGCAUCAUUCUGCUUCAAGGGAAAAAUGGGGCUGAAAUCCCCAGACGAGAUGCCUUUUCCUAAUAUACCUAUGGUCUAGUUCUUAAGGGGGUUUGGCCCGGUGGGGAAAACUGGGAUAUCUGAUCUAUCGCCGCUGGCCUUGAUCGAACUGUUUACCCCAGGCUACCACACCGGCAUGUUCAUUCUCUACAUAUGCUACGGCUUGAAAACAUUUGGGAAGCUUUACUCUAAAGUUUCACUGUCCACGUGAAAGACAAACAUGUUAUCAUAUCCCCUAUAUGUGGCAUCUUUAAAAAAAAAAAAAAGG